This 3346-nucleotide unclassified non-coding RNA is filed under the name Leishmania donovani. RNAcentral describes it as "gene:LdHU3.03.0660(CDS-product:hypothetical_prote in_conserved)". The record is from RNAcentral. Lineage: Eukaryota; Euglenozoa; Kinetoplastea; Trypanosomatida; Trypanosomatidae.
UGUGCAGCCUCGCUAUUUCUGCAGAUCUGGUGUGGAAAGAAGUAAAGGGCGGGGUGCUACGGACAACACGGACUCGGCCAGCGCCUGCCAACGCCCUCGCUGCGUCAUUGGCGGCGAACUUGUUUCCGCCGUUGCGUUGUUUGGAGAGGGGGAGAGGAGAGAGGAGAGAGGAGAGAGGAGAGAGGCUGUGCUCGACACGCAUCAUCGGCGGCGGACGAGAGAGCGCACGCCACUCUUGCUUGCUCUACCACCCCCCUCCCCGCUUUUCUCUUCGCGCGCCCUUACGGGCUUCCCCCCCCCGCCCCCCGCCACCACCACCGCCUGCAAUGCUGCGCCGAACGCUUCGCUGCUGCGCGGAUGUGCGACACACAAGUGUACCGUCCUUCAUGCAGCACCCGGUCGAGAUGGCCUUCUACUUCCCACGCUUCCACCCCGACACGCACGUCAACGCGGCAGGUAUACCGGAGCUGAUCGACGCCGUCGGGCUAAUGACGCGGCAUUCGCGGCCAUCUCGUGCGGAGAGCACUGCAUUCACCUCUACUCCGGCCGCGGAGAGCGCCAUGUCGCGUGCGCUACCGCCGACUCGGUGGACGACGACCGUCUCAGCGACCGCGCAGCCCACGACGGAUGCCGCCGUGGCCGAGGCGCAGAAAGACAACGCGAAGAGUCUCUUGCUGCUGGAGCGCGGCAUCGACAUCCUCAACAGCGUCGGCGGGGUGCGCAACCCCACGGUGGCGAACCUUCUCCGCCCCCUCUACGCCGCCCGCUUCGAGAUGCUCAACGGCAGCGAGCACCUGCCCCGCUCUGAGUAUGCGAAGCGCAUGCACGUGCCCAAGGCCAUCCUCCAGCAAGCCGCUCCGCUGCUCUACUACGACGCCUGGGACAAGUCUGAUGUGCAGCAGCUUGACACGUCCUGUGUUUUGGUCGGCCACUUCAUGAAGGCGUUCUGCGCGCUGCAUCCGCGUCCCUUCCACCCCGUAGCCGCUCCCGCUACCAGUGGUGGCGCCGGUUCCUCCCAAACGUCGUCGACGACGACGACGGCCAGCAGCAGCAGCAGCAAUGCCACAUCAUCAUCUUCGGCACAAUCCCCACCCAAAGGUGCACUUGGCCCGGCUGAGUGGAAGAUGGCUGUCGGUGACGACGGAGAGGGUGCAUACCUGACCCUGUCGAUUGUCCAAGACCGCGUGGAAGAGCUGCUGCGCCUCGCCACCGCGGCGUACGACAAGCACGGCAGCACGCGCCCGGAGCUGCGCUGGCUGCGGCCGAAGCUGCUGGUUUUGAAGGGACUGCUCACCAUUCCGCUCACGGGGCACCUCCUCCACGCACAGCGGUGCAUCGAAGAGGCGGCCAACUACGUCGACGCUCUCACGAAGCGCAAGAAUCUGCUGCUCGACGGGCUGAAGGAGCGCACGCAUGAGCCGGAACUCGGGCUCUACAUGCUGCUGCAGGCGGAGAUCGCCGCCCGCGUCUUUGACUGGGAUGUGGCGCCUGGCCAGGUCGAUGGUGAUGUGGUGAAUAUGUUCACGGACGCCGCGGGCUACUACGCCGACCCGCCAAACACAACGCUAGAUGGAGACGCCAUCAUGUCGGAGAGCAAGCUCGCGGAGCAGCGGUUCGAGGUGGAGGCGUACACGUGCUGUCUGCGCAGCUACGCAGCCUUCUUGCUCGGCGCGCCGCGACCUAAGGCGACGACCACGCGCGACUCACCGGUGUUUCUCGCAAAGCAGCUCUUCUCGCUGAACCCGCUGCUCACCGUGGCGACAUCGUCCUCGCUUAUCUUCAGUGAUGUGCGGAACGUGUCGGAGUUGCCGCUGGACAUGUGCCGUCGCCGCACCGGCGACGCCCUCGAUCGAGCCCUCAAGCUCAACCGCAUGCUUUACCCCGACUUCCGCCAGAACGCACCCGCGGCGUCGACGCUCAUGACGAUGGCAUGCAUGUACGCGGACACGCGCGACUACCUGUACGCCACAGGGCUCUUCGAGUCGGCGAACAAGGCCGUGACGUACAACUUCGGCGACACCUCGCUCGAGCACGUCUUCCUGCAGAAGUUACGCUAUGAGUUUCUCGCGGGUGUGGGGUCGGAGCAGGAGGCGAAGACCGCAUCGCACGAGGUGGUGCACCUGCUCAAGCGCAUGGACGCGCUGCCAUGCUGAUUUGCACCAUCAUCAGGACCACUAAUGCGGUCGGCUGUUGUCGCGGCGCAACGGUGAGAUCGAUGGGCCGGAGAGGAGAGGGGGGAAGGAAUGAGGGAGGGAGCCAGAGAAGUCUCACCUGCCCUCCCCUCUCCCUCACUCCCUCCUGUCCUCUGCUCUUCCAGGUGGAUUUCUCCUUCGCUUUUUCUCUGGUGGCCGCAGGCACCACCACCUCUCUCUCUCUGUGCGUGCGGGGGAGCCAGGCAGCCCACCCACCCACCCAUCCCCUAUCCCUGCCAAUGCCGAACCGCUUCUGGCGGCUACAGAGGUGGGGGGGGGGGGGGGGGGGUGAGGUCCCGGGCGGCGUGGUGUCGGAGUGGUCUGCGACAGUGAGCACGUCUGUGCCAUCCACAUGAUGGGGGAGCGGCUAUGAGCUGGGUGGGUGGAGUUCGAGGCAGAGGCGGUGCCGAGAGGACGCUGGGGCGGUCGACGAGCGGUAACGCGCGCGUCUACGGCUGCUUGGCACCACGCGAUGGGGUGCUGUGGGGCAGGGCCGGGUGGCUCGCGCGGCGUUUGAGCUCCUGCUGGGAUGUAUGGCAGCGAGACGGUAUGAACGCACCGCGGACGAAAACAAGAUGAGAGUUUAUCACACACACACGCACGCGCAGGUGCGGUGGCGGUGAUGUUGGGCCGCUGUGGAAGUCAAGGCUUUUUCGUCGUUGCGCGCCUCGCCCGUCCUCUUGCGAGUAGGUGUUGUUGUCUGAACGUCGAUGGUAUUGACGCUUCCUCCUCCCUCUGACGAGUCGAGGGCGGCAGCGCCCGUGAGGCUCUGCGAAUGGUCAGCGGGGGGAGAGGGGAGAGGGCGAAGUAGAGAGAGAUUGGGGAGAGGAGGGCGGGUGGGUGCUGCUGGCUUUCCAGUGGUGAGUGAGAGGGGGAAUGCUGGCGCGCACGCACGGAUUCGUGUGGGAGUCGUUUGUUGAUGCCGGUGACGUUUUGGGGGCGUGGCAGGGGGAGGAGGCGCAUUUAGGCCGUGACGUCUUCCUGCGUUCCCCCUCACGACGUCUGGUGCUACUCUGGGCAUAGUGAAGGGUGGUGGUUUGAUGCCGAUGAUGGUGCGGUUACACGUGGUGGCGGCUCGUUACUGCGGAGGGGGGGGUGCACACGCGCGCGCGUCGCAGAUGAUUCACUUCGCGCUCUAAGAACCGAACGGAAAC